AAUAUUGGGUUCCACGCGGCAAAACAUUUCCUGCUGUUGACCACCAACUGCUCCCCCCACAAUCCUCGCCGCGGCGGGAAGGAAGCAUGCCGGGAGGCAAGGGGAAAGACGAACCGGACCGGGAAACGGAGCUGAGUGCUAGAAGUGGAGAUGGGUGAAACUUCGCUAAGGAAUUCACACCUUCAGGCUGUUCUUGGGGCUGGAAUUGCUGCCAGAUUCAUCUUGUUCAGCGGAUGAGCGGAGGAACAAGAAGUGGAGAUGGAUGAAAAAACUCGAGGAGGAAUUCAGAACUCGAGGCUCGAAUUGUUGCUGGAUCCAUCUUCAGUGGAAGAAGAAGAAGUGGAGAUGGGUGCAACUCUGAUGAGAAAGAGCUUCACUGUUCUUGGUGCUGGAACUGCUGGGUCCAUCGUUUUCAGGUAUUUCUGCCAUGAGACCACUCUUCCCCCAAAUUCGAUUGCGUUGCCCUUUUUUUUUUUCCUGGGGCCGGAGUUGUUGGGAAUCCAUCUUAUCUUCUGCUUGAUUGGUUGUGCUGAAUCUUGUUCUGUCUUGCGUAUUCGUUGGCCAAUUGAUUCCUUCUGUUUCGUCGGGAGCCUCACACUUUUCAGAGGGAAACCGAUUGGCAUCGCAAUGACUACAUUACCUCACGGUUAUGCCAGCCGUCGGUUUUUUCGUCUGAUGUGCAGGAGAGCCGCACUGUUAGAGAAAACGGAGCCGGGGCUCUUGUGCUGCCCGAGCUCUGAACUAACCAUCCAUGGCCGUGCUCUCGCGGAGAAGUGUAGCACAGGAGAACUGCAUGGCACGGCUCUCAUUGUCUGGCACCGCUUGUAUAGGCGCCUGAUCAGAUCAAGGGCAUCUCCUCCAGUGCCUGACUUGACCUGCUCUUGCAUCCUGUGUCCAGCUUGCACUCCAGACUAGUGACUAGACUGGAGCUUGUGAUUGCAGCUAGUGUCCUGCAAUGCUAUCUGUGCGGAUGGAUUCCUUGACGUGAAUCCGCAGAAACUUGUGACAGCCCCAAGUUUCUCGGUAGAAAAUGAUCAGCCUGGCCGGCUGACCUUCGUUGCUUCUCGGAUUCUGCUCUGAAACCGACUCCAAUCAAGUGGUAUCUAUCUCUGGCUUAUGUAGUACACUCCAUCUAGGGACCACAUUCCUUGAGCAAACACGCGCCCGAGUAGGACUCAAUGACUCAUGCACUCCGUUCGGCAGCCAGCUCCAGCCCAAUAGUAUUUUCUUCUCACACUACUCCAGCUCCAGCCAGCCCAACAGUAUUUUUCUUUCACACCAUUCCAGCUCCAGCCUCCAGCUCCAGCCUCCAGCUCCAGCCUGCUAUGCCUGGGGAGUGCCUGUGUCCAGUGGACAGGCGAAACUUAUCCAGUGGACAGGCGAAACUUAUCCAGCUAUAGCUUUUUCGUUAGAUUUUUUCCAUAAUGUUGUGUUUCCUAUAUGUUAAUGCUUGGAGACAAUAAUGAGAGUUCAAAGUCCAUUUCGAAAAAAUAAUGAUCAAAGUCACGCCUAGAUAACAUCCAUACUGUCAAAUGAAAAGUAACGGAGAGGUGCUUAUGAUGCAAUAGUCUCUUUGUGUUUAAAGUGUUAAAGAUUUAUUCAACUUCAUGUUGUUGGUUUUAAAUAGGAAAAAAAUCCAACUUACUGUCAAGUUUGCAUAAUAUACCAUGAACUAUAAAACUGUAUAUUUAACCUCCUUUUUUCCCCCAAAAAAAGGUGGUGAUUUUCACCUUUUGCUUUAAAUCAAAUCCGUUUUGAUGACGUGGUGUGGGAUCUGGGCGGUCUAGAUGACAUGGGUAGGUGAGCUCAUGCGACACCAGCAAGCAGAGAGAGAAAUGAGAGAGAUUUAUGGGUUAAAACCAUAUAGGUGGCGUAGCAAGCGCUGGAACUGUAACCCCGUUAUGUCCUCAACCAUCCAGAUCCAACGCCAUGCCGUCAAAACUACCUUGUACUCAUGGAAAACUCGGGCGCAUAAUUUGGACUCAUGGCAGACUUAGGAGCAUAAUUUGGACUCGUGGUAAACUUGGGAGCAUAAUUCAUUAAUUUGGACCUUUUUUCUUUUUGAAUGACCCAUACUGCAUUAUAGUCCUUGGAUGUAUACCAGAGUUGAGUUCAUAUAUUUGAGACAUAUGCUACCUGGACAAAAUAAUGGACAAGAGUGCUUAGUGGCAGUGCAUGUAUAACGGCAAUUAAGAAGUCAUCUAUAUACAGUUUAUCCCGUUUAUCAAGGUGAUUAAACGUGGAAACGGCUGGUGCUGUCAUCUCGCGAGAUGACGGCAUCGGCUCGUGCUCCAAGGGCAAAUCGACGCCUAGGAAGCCGAUGUACGCGCAGCUUCGACUCACCUACGGUGGCGAGGGAUCCGGUGUGCCGUGUGCGCACGAGCGUUUUGGUGCGGGAAAAUCCGUCGAAGGAGCCAGUUCCCCUGCGUGCGCCCGGAAUCCCCUCCGCCUGCCAUUUCUGCUGUGGAGUCCCCUCCUCCGCGCCCCCUCUGCCCUAGCCAACCUCGGGAACGGCUUCACCUUGUCGCCGCUCCCCCAUCGGAACCCCACCGCCGCCGCAUGUUGCCGCCUCCGAGCUUAGGCGCACGCCAGCAAGCACCUCCCCUGCUGCCCCGACCCCAACCAAACCCCUUCCCAGAUAGCUCGCGACCUCCUCUAGCUUUUCCCCCACCUUGCCCUCGCAACCGAUGAGCAAGUUCGCCGGAUUUUGGCCGGCCAAAGUUUUCCCACCGUAUGCCAUGGUGGGAGGACCAUACUGCGUUGGUUUCAAAUUGUCUAGGGUGAUUUCUGUAAGAAACCAAGGACCUAUUCGUAAAAUUCUAGUUCAAGUUUUUAAAUCCAAGUAGGGAACUUGUAAAUUCAUUUACAAAUUGUAGAAAAAUCGGAAAAAUACAAACUCGACUGUUUUGAGUUCCUAGCAACUAGAUCUACAACUUUUGUUACAUGCACAUCUUUAGUUUCUCAAUACCUUUUUGCUCUAUUUAAAAUGCAAGUUUCAUCUCUUAAAAUAUUCAUGUGAUUUAUUUGCAUCCACAAAUGAUUCUUUCAUUUAUGCCACAAAACAAUACGCAAAUAUCCAUUUCACAUGUUUGAUUAUCACGUUUCAUUUGCCUAGGCAUAUAUAAAAUAGCUUUCAAGUAGCCACACAGACACACCAUUGUACAAGUUGUCUGCUCUGUCGUCUGCGUGCAAUAUUCUAGACACAUACAGACGACAGCCGUCUAACCAUUGUACAUGCCGUUAUGUUGGUGUCCAUUCAUUUCCCAUCACUUUACUUUCACUCUCUUUACUCCCAACUCGAAACUACAAGUAGCAACUUGGGCGAGCCGGACUCACUCCUCUCCCUUGUCUCUCUAUCUCUACUCCCCAAUGUCAUCUCUAUGCACCCCUCAUGUGGCUGCUUCUAGCAACCAAAUCUAGUCUAGAAAUGGCAUACCAAGCCAAAUCUCUCAAUGGAAUAUUUAAGGGUUUGCUAGAUCUAAAGUGACUCAAAUUUCAUAGCACCCAAUGAAAGAAUAAGUUUACACAAUAGAUGCAGAAUGGAGAUUGGUCUGAUUUGUUGAAUUCCAAAACCCCGAAGUUGUAGUAGUUGACAUACAUAUCCAAAUAACCCUUGUUUCAAUUAAUUACUGCUGCUCUGUCCCAUCACUUAUGCGGCAUCACUUUCACUUCACACAUGUGGUUGAUUUGCAAAGUGCAUGUGGAAGUAAAUGAGCUAGAUGAAACCCCACCCAUCACCUCAUACUUGGAAAAGAAAAAAAGUAACCCCGGCCCUAAACCACAACAUGUCAACUAAGAAAACACCAGGAAGCUAUACAUCACGGGGAACACGCUGGAAAUUAAAUCAGCAACUUAAUUAAUUAGUUGGCAUGUAUUGUAUACUAUACUCCAUUAACCUUUGUUUAACAUUUAACAAGGGUUUCUUUAUUUGGCAAAUAACUUUUUUUGGUUAAGAGCACAUGCAUGUCCACAUUUUCAUACAGAUUCCAGAUGCAUUUAACGAAGUUAUUCGGGAUAGGAUCGGAGUGGCACCAAUUGAGGAGAAACUUACCCAACAUCGGCUGAGAUGGUUUGGACAUGUCCAACGAAGGCCUCCUGAGGCGCCGGUGCGUAACGGGGUUCUUGAACGGGUCGAUAAUGUAAAGAGAGGUAGAGGUAGACCUAAACUGACGUGGGAUGAGUCGGUUAAAAGAGACCUUAAGGAUUGGAAUAUCUCUAAAGAAAUAGCUUUGAAUAGGAGCGCUUGGAGACUAGCUAUCAAUGUGCCUGAACCUUGAACUUAUUUCUUUCGGGUUUCAUCUCUAGCCUACCCCAACUUGUUUGGGAAAAAAAGCUAUGUUGUUGUUGUUGUGGAGUAUUUGCAAACUGCAUGUACAUGCAUGUGCUCUUAACCAAAAAAAAAAAAUGCGAGGAAGCUAUCAACGGUGACAUGUGGAAUCUGGAAUAUUUGGAUCGACCAACGACCACACCAUGACUAUGCUUAGACCUUGAAUGCAUGUAACAAGCUGCACUGUCACCCUCCCUCCACAAGCCACAAAUGAAAUAAAUUAGCAAAUUAAAUUAACCUGCCGAUCAGAUGACAUCAAACUAUCUUUUUUUCUUAAUUACACAAGGCACGUUGUACUACGCAAAUCGUAGUAGCUGCACGAGCAACUCGCUGAAGAAUAGAAGCUUCUCGGCUCUCGCUCCCUGUCGCCAGAAGCGUGUGAGCGUGUCCACAAGCAAGAAAAGAGAGAGGGCGCGGUAGAAGAUUAUGCAGUCAAGGAGCAGUCUCUACUCGUCUUUUCCUCAACGCACGCAUGCUAUUCUCGCAAACGGAGUCAUGGUCUCGCCACCGUGUGGCAGCAUCUGACGUGUUUACUCGUCGUUGGCUCGUUCCAGUUCACAUUUGUGAGAUUGCGGCCGUGGACGUGGAAAAGGCCGUGGAGGAGGCUCUGAUGCAGGAAGUGGAGAGGAACCAGCCGCAGCCGCAGCCCGUGGAGGCCGGCAGUGGCGGCCCAGGCCUUCCGGGAACCAGCGCCGGC
Molecule: RNA transcript, 5024 nt
Organism: Panicum virgatum (switchgrass)
Lineage: Eukaryota; Viridiplantae; Streptophyta; Magnoliopsida; Poales; Poaceae
Gene name: transcription factor BHLH148-like
Exons: 5
Source: RefSeq, a predicted model, not a curated record